UACGUAGGUGGCAAGCGUCGUCCGGAUUUACUGGGUGUAAAGGGCGUGUAGCCGGGUUGACAAGUCAGAUGUGAAAUCCUGCGGCUUAACCGCAGAACUGCAUUUGAAACUGUUGAUCUUGAGUACUGGAGAGGCAGACGGAAUUCCUAGUGUAGCGGUGAAAUGCGUAGAUAUUAAGAGGAACACCAGUGGCGAAGGCGGUCUGCUGGACAGCAACUGACGGUGAGGCGCGAAAGCGUGGGGAGCAAACAGG
This 253-nucleotide ribosomal RNA is filed under the name uncultured bacterium. RNAcentral's name for it is "partial 16S ribosomal RNA". It matches the Rfam family "Bacterial small subunit ribosomal RNA", at positions 524 to 776 of the family's 1533-position model. The record is from RNAcentral.